This is a long non-coding RNA of Nannospalax galili (Upper Galilee mountains blind mole rat), 203 nucleotides long. RefSeq lists it as uncharacterized. NCBI's taxonomy places the organism in Eukaryota, Metazoa, Chordata, Mammalia, Rodentia, Spalacidae. The record is from RefSeq and is a predicted model, not a curated record. The transcript has 3 exons.
GCGGUCAGUCUCGGUGAGGCCCCACCUUUUUGCCCUUGCCUGGUUGGAGGAUGGCCACGUCAGUCACUAGAGCAGGCUCCGCCUCUGGGACAGGAAUCAAACUCAGAUCAUCAGGCUUGCACAGUAGGAAGAAGAGCUUCUUUUGCUUUCUGAGCCAUCUUGAUUAAAAGGUUCAUUGAUGGGGCUGGAGAGAUGGCUCAGCG